RNAcentral lists this ribosomal RNA (440 nucleotides) under uncultured bacterium. Its description in RNAcentral is "partial 16S ribosomal RNA". It matches the Rfam family "Bacterial small subunit ribosomal RNA", at positions 338 to 795 of the family's 1533-position model. The record is from RNAcentral.
CCUACGGGAGGCAGCAGUGGGGGAUAUUGCACAAUGGGGGGAACCCUGAUGCAGCGACGCCGCGUGGGUGAAGAAGCGCCUCGGCGCGUAAAGCCCUGUCAGCAGGGAAGAAAAUGACGGUACCUGAAGAAGAAGCCCCGGCUAACUACGUGCCAGCAGCCGCGGUAAUACGUAGGGGGCAAGCGUUAUCCGGAUUUACUGGGUGUAAAGGGGGCGCAGACGGCGAUGCAAGCCAGGAGUGAAAGCCCGGGGCCCAAGCCCGGGACUGCUCUUGGAACUGCGUGGCUGGAGUGCAGGAGGGGCAGGCGGAAUUCCUGGUGUAGCGGUGGAAUGCGUAGAUAUCAGGAGGAACACCGGUGGCGAAGGCGGCCUGCUGGACUGCAACUGACGUUGAGGCCCGAAAGCGUGGGGAGCAAACAGGAUUAGAUACCCGGGUAGUC